CCUACGGGUGGCAGCAGUGGGGAAUAUUGCACAAUGGGGGGAACCCUGAUGCAGCGACGCCGCGUGAGUGAAGAAGUAUUUCGGUAUGUAAAGCUCUAUCAGCAGGGAAGAAAAUGACGGUACCUGAGUAAGAGGCCCCGGCUAACUACGUGCCAGCAGCCGCGGUAAUACGUAGGGGGCAAGCGUUAUCCGGAUUUACUGGGUGUAAAGGGAGCGUAGACGGCAGUGCAAGUCUGGAGUGAAAGGUGGGGGCUCAACCCCCGGACUGCUCUGGAAACUGUACGGCUGGAGUGCAGGAGAGGUAAGUGGAAUUCCUAGUGUAGCGGUGAAAUGCGUAGAUAUUAGGAGGAACACCAGUGGCGAAGGCGGCUUACUGGACUGUAACUGACGUUGAGGCUCGAAAGCGUGGGGAGCAAACAGGAUUAGAUACCCGAGUAGUC
Molecule: ribosomal RNA, 440 nt
Filed under: uncultured bacterium
Lineage: Bacteria
Description: partial 16S ribosomal RNA
Rfam family: Bacterial small subunit ribosomal RNA
Source: RNAcentral